CCUUCGGGGUGACGAGUUAUUGACUGAGUGGCGGACGGGUGAGUAACGCGUGGGUAACCUACCUUGUACAGGGGGACAACAGUUGGAAACGACUGCUAAUACCGCAUAAGCGCACAGCAUCGCAUGAUGCAGUGUGAAAAGUUUUUUCGGUACAAGAUGGACCCGCGUCUGAUUAGCUAGUUGGUGAGGUAACGGCCCACCAAGGCGACGAUCAGUAGCCGACCUGAGAGGGUGACCGGCCACAUUGGGACUGAGACACGGCCCAAACUCCUACGGGAGGCAGCAGUGGGGAAUAUUGCACAAUGGGCGCAAGCCUGAUGCAGCGACGCCGCGUGAGCGAAGAAGUAUUUCGGUAUGUAAAGCUCUAUCAGCAGGGAAGAUAAUGACGGUACCUGACUAAGAAGCACCGGCUAAAUACGUGCCAGCAGCCGCGGUAAUACGUAUGGUGCAAGCGUUAUCCGGAUUUACUGGGUGUAAAGGGAGCGUAGGCGGUUUUACAAGUCUGAUGUGAAAGCCCCGGGGCUCAACUCCGGUAUUGCAUUGGAAACUGU
Molecule: ribosomal RNA, 551 nt
Filed under: uncultured bacterium
Lineage: Bacteria
Description: bacterial SSU rRNA
Rfam family: Bacterial small subunit ribosomal RNA
Source: RNAcentral